UAAUUGUGUGCGCUUUUGUUUGAACUUAUCAAAUAUGUGAUUGUUCUCCUUCUCCUUCAGAGAGAUAAGAAAUCCACCCUCCGGAUAUGUAGAAUGAUGUUGUUGUAAUCACUCUUCAAAGGGAGAUCCACAGUAAACAAAUGUUAGAAUGUCGCCUCUGCAGCUUCUUUUGGUACCAUAUCAGGAUGGGUGAGCUAUCUCCAGUUAAGGCAAAUUAACCUGUGAAGAAACAAAGCAAAAUGCAAGUUAACAGCUUCCUGAUUUUGCUUAUGAAAAUGAGUUUCAGGUGCAAUGUGUAUGCAAGUAUAUCUAUGUAAAUUAUAUGUGAUCACUCAGUCUCAGAAGAUAACUCACUUAGGAAAUUUAAGGACAGAAGCAAAAACAAAAAACGUGCUAGUGCUGAUAAUGCUGCAACAUCAGAUGAAGCCAUGCUGA
RNAcentral lists this long non-coding RNA (435 nucleotides) under Phasianus colchicus (ring-necked pheasant). RNAcentral describes it as "lncRNA (ENSPCLG00000006451.1)". The record is from RNAcentral. Lineage: Eukaryota; Metazoa; Chordata; Aves; Galliformes; Phasianidae.